AGAGUUUGAUCCUGGCUCAGAGUGAACGCUGGCGGCAGGCCUAACACAUGCAAGUCGAACGGCAGCACAGUGGAGCUUGCUCCAUGGGUGGCGAGUGGCGGACGGGUGAGGAAUACAUCGGAAUCUGCCCAGUCGUGGGGGAUAACAUAGGGAAACUUAUGCUAAUACCGCAUACGACCUACGGGUGAAAGCGGGGGAUCGCAAGACCUCGCGCGAUUGGAUGAGCCGAUGUCCGAUUAGCUAGUUGGCGGGGUAAUGGCCCACCAAGGCGACGAUCGGUAGCUGGUCUGAGAGGAUGAUCAGCCACACUGGAACUGAGACACGGUCCAGACUCCUACGGGAGGCAGCAGUGGGGAAUAUUGGACAAUGGGCGCAAGCCUGAUCCAGCCAUGCCGCGUGGGUGAAGAAGGCCUUCGGGUUGUAAAGCCCUUUUGUCCGGAAAGAAAAGCCCUGGGUUAACACCCUGGGGUGAUGACGGUACCGGAAGAAUAAGCACCGGCUAACUUCGUGCCAGCAGCCGCGGUAAUACAAAGGGUGCAAGCGUUACUCGGAAUUACUGGGCGUAAAGCGUGCGUAGGUGGUUUGUUAAGUCUGAUGUGAAAGCCCUGGGGCGCAACCUGGGAAUGGCAUUGGAAGCUGGCAGGCUAGAGUGCGGUAGAGGAUGGCGGAAUUCCCGGUGUAGCAGUGAAAUGCGUAGAGAUCGGGAGGAACAUCUGUGGCGAAGGCGGCCAUCUGGACCAGCACUGACACUGAGGCACGAAAGCGUGGGGAGCAAACAGGAUUAGAUACCCUGGUAGUCC
This 800-nucleotide ribosomal RNA is filed under the name uncultured bacterium. Its description in RNAcentral is "bacterial SSU rRNA". It matches the Rfam family "Bacterial small subunit ribosomal RNA", at positions 8 to 796 of the family's 1533-position model. The record is from RNAcentral.